RNAcentral lists this unclassified non-coding RNA (1365 nucleotides) under Hevea brasiliensis (rubber tree). The record is from RNAcentral. Lineage: Eukaryota; Viridiplantae; Streptophyta; Magnoliopsida; Malpighiales; Euphorbiaceae.
CUCUCUCUCUCUCUCCCUCCCUCUGUUGUCUGUAGAAUUUACACGAUGAAGCAUUUUAUGCAGCCAAGAAAUGCGAUCUUGAGGGAAGCAAACGCCAAUGGUGAGCCGCCAUUACAGUCUCCGAACCCUAGCUCUAACAAAUUGAAGCCAUCGCCACCGCCGUCUUCUUCACGGAGGCAAAAGUUGUCUAAAGAAAAUGCUCCGCCGUCAGAUCUGAACUCUAUGCCACCGCUAUCAGAUCAAAAACCCUCGCCGUCCCCUUCUGCCAAGAUGAAGAAUCCGUUGCCGCCUAGGCCUCCAUCCUCCAACCCUCUAAAGCGCAAACUCAGCAUGGAAACAGUGCCGGAAAAUGCUCUCCCAGAUUCUGGCGUCAAGGUUAUUGUGCGAAUGCGACCAUUAAACAAGGAUGAAGAGGAAGGGGAAAUGAUAGUUCAAAAAGUAUCUGAUGAUUCUUUGUCAAUCAAUGGCCAGACUCUCACAUUUGACUCAGUUGCUGACACACAAUCGACACAACUAGACAUUUUCAAUCUUGUUGGAGCUCCUCUUGUUGAAAAUUGUCUUGCCGGAUUUAACAGUUCAGUAUUUGCCUAUGGACAGACGGGGAGUGGAAAGACCUACACUAUGUGGGGACUAGCUAAUGCGCUCCUGGAAGAAAACUUAUCCAGUGAUCAACAAGGUUUAACUCCCCGUGUCUUUCAAAGACUCUUUGCCCGCAUAAAUGAGGAGCAAAUUAAACAUGCCGACAAACAACUCAAGUAUCAGUGUCGUUGCUCUUUUCUUGAGGUCAAGGACUGUUUGUUUUGCUGUAAUUCACCUGUUAGCAGCAUAUUUUGCACCCCAUGAUUCUUCAGUUUAUUUUUGCAGAUUUAUAAUGAGCAAAUAACAGAUUUGCUGGAUCCAAACCAACGAAACCUCCAGAUAAGAGAAGAUGUGAAAUCUGGUGUCUAUGUUGAAAAUCUAAGAGAGGAAUAUGUAUUUACAAUAAAAGAUGUGACUCAGCUUCUGAUGAAGGGUUUGUCCAACCGGAGGACUGGUGCAACUAGUAUAAAUGCUGAGAGUUCUCGUUCACAUAGUGUUUUCACUUGUCUUGUGGAAUCUCGAUGCAAGAGCAUGUCAGACGGCUUAAGCAGCUUAAAAACGAGUAGAAUAAAUCUUGUUGAUCUAGCUGGGUCAGAGCGACAGAAGUUAACUGGUGCUGCAGGGGAACGUUUGAAGGAAGCGGGGAAUAUAAAUAGAUCUCUGUCACAGCUUGGGAACUUGAUAAACAUUCUUGCUGAAGUUUCCCAAACAGGAAAGCAAAGGCAUAUCCCUUACAGAGACUCCAGGUUGACAUUUUUGUUGCAAGAAUCUCUUGGUGGCAAUGCA